ACUUCAAGAGCGCAUGGUGGAUGCCUUGACACUAUUGGACGAAGAAGGACGUUGCAGGGUGCGAUAAGCUUCGGUGAGGUCCCAAGCAACCUUUGACCCGGAGAUUUCCGAAUGGGGGAACCCAUCCUAUUUUAUAGGAUACUGUACACUGAAUACAUAGGUGUAUAGGGAAGACCUGGUGAAGUGAAACAUCUCAGUAACCAGAGGA
This 208-nucleotide ribosomal RNA is filed under the name Candidatus Magasanikiibacteriota bacterium. Its description in RNAcentral is "Candidatus Magasanikbacteria bacterium partial 23S ribosomal RNA". It matches the Rfam family "Bacterial large subunit ribosomal RNA", at positions 1 to 217 of the family's 2925-position model. Lineage: Bacteria; Candidatus Magasanikiibacteriota. The record is from RNAcentral.